Molecule: signal recognition particle RNA, 251 nt
Filed under: Bacillota bacterium
Lineage: Bacteria; Bacillati; Bacillota
Description: Firmicutes bacterium (anaerobic digester metagenome) partial signal recognition particle sRNA large type
Rfam family: Bacterial large signal recognition particle RNA
About the family: The signal recognition particle (SRP) is a universally conserved ribonucleoprotein involved in the co-translational targeting of proteins to membranes. Archaeal SRP consists of a 7S RNA and homologues of the eukaryotic SRP19 and SRP54 proteins. In most bacteria, the SRP consists of a 4.5S RNA and the Ffh protein (a homologue of the eukaryotic SRP54 protein).
Source: RNAcentral
CCGUGCUAGACGGGGAAGUAGCGGAGCCCUGAACCCGCAAUCCGCUGUAGCGGGGUCGAAUUCCCGUCUGAGGGUUGGGCUUGUGGGGCUCGGUCCAAGCAAGUGGUGUUGACGAUUGGGUCUUGCGCAAUAAGGCUCCAUGAACCCCGUCAGGUCCGGGAGGAAGCAGCGGUAAGUGGAUCACCUUAUGUGCCGCAAGGGUGCCUAGUCCGAGCUAACUACUUGGGUGCCACCUGGAAGUGCCAAUUCGA